This is a non-coding RNA of Plutella xylostella (diamondback moth), 324 nucleotides long. The record is from RefSeq and is a predicted model, not a curated record. NCBI's taxonomy places the organism in Eukaryota, Metazoa, Arthropoda, Insecta, Lepidoptera, Plutellidae.
UUGUUCAAUUUAACAUUUCAUUAUUUAUCAGUUCCACUCAAAAUUUUUGGUACUUACCUAAUGUAAAACUUUGUUUUGCAACUUCAUCCCAGUGUUAUCAGACAAAAGCACACAUUUGUAUCAUAACAUUAUACUAAUUUAUUGUUGUUUUAGGUCUGACUUCGAAUACGACGACGCCGCCGCCCGCAAGUCGCACGCGCGGUCAUCGAGAAAGGCCUUCGAGUCGGAAGACGACUACUUUGAAAGUAACCCCAAGAGGAUCGCAAAGCCGACUAAGCGCGCGUCGCAGCUUGCCGAAUCAGACGCAGAAUCGACUGUAGCAAG